Long non-coding RNA from Etheostoma spectabile (orangethroat darter), 128 nucleotides. RefSeq lists it as uncharacterized. The record is from RefSeq and is a predicted model, not a curated record. NCBI's taxonomy places the organism in Eukaryota, Metazoa, Chordata, Actinopteri, Perciformes, Percidae. The transcript is spliced from 3 exons.
GCAGCUUUAUCUCUUAUAGUGCUCUGUUACAAAUAGACCAUAAAAAUAAUUAAUGUAGCAGCAGUGACGUUUGGCAAUUUGACCAUAGCCAUCUUGUCUUUUCGAAACAGACAUGACAAUUAUUGAAU